AGUGAACGCUGGCGGUAGGCCUAACACAUGCAAGUCGAACGGCAGCACAGUAAGAGCUUGCUCUUACGGGUGGCGAGUGGCGGACGGGUGAGGAAUACAGCGGAAUCUACUUUUUCGUGGGGGAUAACGUAGGGAAACUUACGCUAAUACCGCAUACGACCUACCGGUGAAAGCAGGGGAGCUUCGGACCUUUCGCGAUUGAAUAAGCCGAUGUCGGAUUAGCUAGUUGGCGGGGUAAAGGCCCACCAAGGCGACGAUCCGUAGCUGGUCUGAGAGGAUGAUCAGCCACACUGGAACUGGGACACGGUCCAGACUCCUACGGGAGGCAGCAGUGGGGAAUAUUGGACAAUGGGCGCAAGCCUGAUCCAGCCAUACCGCGUGGGUGAAGAAGGCCUUCGGGUUGUAAAGCCCUUUUGUUGGGAAAGAAAAGCAGCAGGUUAAUACCCCGCUGUUCUGACGGUACCCAAAGAAUAAGCACCGGCUAACUUCGUG
Molecule: ribosomal RNA, 492 nt
Filed under: uncultured bacterium
Lineage: Bacteria
Description: partial 16S ribosomal RNA
Rfam family: Bacterial small subunit ribosomal RNA
Source: RNAcentral